RNAcentral lists this ribosomal RNA (254 nucleotides) under uncultured bacterium. RNAcentral describes it as "partial 16S ribosomal RNA". It matches the Rfam family "Bacterial small subunit ribosomal RNA", at positions 524 to 776 of the family's 1533-position model. The record is from RNAcentral.
UACGUAGGGUGCGAGCGUUGUCCGGAAUUAUUGGGCGUAAAGAGCUCGUAGGCGGUGUGUUACGUCGGCCGUGAAAACCUGCAGCUUAACUGUGGGCGUGCGGUCGAUACGGGCAUCACUGGAGUUCGGCAGGGGAGACUGGAAUUCCUGGUGUAGCGGUGAAAUGCGCAGAUAUCAGGAGGAACAACGGUGGCGAAGGCGGGUCUCUGGGCCGAUACUGACGCUGAGGAGCGAAAGCGUGGGGAGCAAACAGG